RNAcentral lists this ribosomal RNA (253 nucleotides) under uncultured bacterium. RNAcentral describes it as "partial 16S ribosomal RNA". It matches the Rfam family "Bacterial small subunit ribosomal RNA", at positions 524 to 776 of the family's 1533-position model. The record is from RNAcentral.
UACGGAGGGUGCAAGCGUUAUCCGGAUUCACUGGGUUUAAAGGGUGUGUAGGUGGCAGUGUUAGUCGAUUGUUAAAACCUGGGGCUCAACCCCAGAUGUGCGAUCGAAACGGCACAGCUAGAGGAUGCGAGGGAUGUAUGGAACUCAUGGAGUAGGGGUGAAAUCCGUUGAUAUCAUGGGGAACACCAAAAGCGAAGGCAGUACAUUGGCGCACUCCUGACACUGAAACACGAAAGCGUGGGUAGCGAAUGGG